Molecule: ribosomal RNA, 425 nt
Filed under: uncultured bacterium
Lineage: Bacteria
Description: bacterial SSU rRNA
Rfam family: Bacterial small subunit ribosomal RNA
Source: RNAcentral
GGGGAAUAUUGCACAAUGGGCGCAAGCCUGAUGCAGCCAUGCCGCGUGUAUGAAGAAGGCCUUCGGGUUGUAAAGUACUUUCAGCGAGGAGGAAGGCGUUGUGGUUAAUAACCUCACCGAUUGACGUUACCCGCAGAAGAAGCACCGGCUAACUCUGUGCCAGCAGCCGCGGUAAUAAGGAGGGUGCAAGCGUUAAUCGGAAUUACUGGGCGUAAAGCGCACGCAGGCGGUCUGUCAAGUCGGAUGUGAAAUCCCCGGGCUCAACCUGGGAACUGCAUUCGAAACUGGCAGGCUAGAGUCUUGUAGAGGGGGGUAGAAUUCCAGGUGUAGCGGUGAAAUGCGUAGAGAUCUGGAGGAAUACCGGUGGCGAAGGCGGCCCCCUGGACAAAGACUGACGCUCAGGUGCGAAAGCGUGGGGAGCAAAC